Molecule: transfer RNA, 73 nt
Filed under: Bos taurus (domestic cattle)
Lineage: Eukaryota; Metazoa; Chordata; Mammalia; Artiodactyla; Bovidae
Rfam family: tRNA
About the family: Transfer RNA (tRNA) molecules are approximately 80 nucleotides in length.
Source: Rfam by way of RNAcentral
UCCCCUGCAGUUCAGUAGUUAGGACUCAAUACUUUCACUGCUGUAGGCUCAGGUUCAAUUCCUAGUUGGGGAA